GCUGGAACGCAGGGCCAAGGCAAGAAUCGCCCUCAGAAUUUCAGAUCGUCAGCGCAGGACUCCAUCCCCCGACCGUGCACUGGAAUCGCUGGUCUCCAGAGGCACGUUUUUCUGGACUGAGGACGUGAUCAUCCCUCACAAUAGGAAUGCAGAUAAUGACCUUCAUUAAUGAAGGAACAAACAUCUGUCCCCUUUCGGGAGCCAUAGUACAAGUUCUUACCGUAUAGUCUAGUCGGGUGGGAAGAUUCGCCUAUCUUCUGUUUUCUUUGUGGGUGCAAUUUGCAUACUUGUGUUUAUCACGGCUUUCAUUCACUCUGGUUUUCGAGGAUUUAUCACAUCGCAAGGCUCAAAUACCCUCUCUAGGGGAGGGACUACACGUUAUGAGAGACAUGGGCCCAGCAGGGGUGUUUGUACUUUAGAGCCCCUCUCCUAGAAACUGAGUUUCCCCGGGCCUGCCCAUCUCCCCAGGGUACUCAUUCUGAGCACCCGGCCAACAGCCAAUUUAAGGUCUGGCUCUGGGAUUUGAGCUUCUCCCUGCCUGGCACUGAAUGAACACCACCACCUCCACCUCACUGGAGACCUCAUUAGGACUUGAACUCUGGUCUUUGUUCCUUCCCAGCGGGUUCUUUUCAGAGGGAAAGGUGGGAAGAGGAGGGGGGUCAGGUAAGCCCACAGCUCCCAGAGCAGCAGGAGUCCAACAGCCUCUGAGAUCCGGAAAGUUGAGUAAACAAGCAAUUACUGGAGAGAGAGACUAAAGCAGCAACCGGAGAAGCAGCUUAGCUAAUUCGAUUCUACUCCCCGCAGGAGAAGACAGCGCCUUCCUCUAGCCCUCCUCCUACCCAGCUUCUUGGGGCUAAUUCCAGCAGCCUCUGUCUGCCUUUCAAGUGAAAUUCCACCCUUAAGCACCAGCAGGGUCCCAGGAGUAAGAGGAAGACCUUUAUCGAGACUGAAUUCUUGGCUUGGCCAACGUCCCCACUGCUCUUUGUUGUAAGGAGAAAGAAUACAGUCUGUAAAGCUCUCUCCCUUCACACCCCGGGGCCUUUGGAUCUCUUUGCCAGAGAGGAGCUAAGAAAGAAGGAGGUGACUCAGAACUCGCUUCUCAGAACCUGGAGUGGGAACCCAGCUGGGCUGCAGGAAGUGUGGGGUCGGGAGUGAAAGAACCCCCACAUCCAUUCCCCGCUUUUAGCUCCUAGCAGCCUCCUGCCUACUGCUAGGCCCCAUGAGUUCACUUCCUCUGCUUCUGCUGACAUCAGUGCAGAUCUUGUCACAGAAAGGCCUCCACAUAGAUAAGGCUGGGUUCCUGCCAUUACUACCUUCAGAGAUUUGAUCAUUUCGUAGAGUUUCAGCGGAGAGGUUAAAAAAAAUUUCCGGACAUUGAAACAUGUCGGUGAACAACAAUACAAGGCAACUUACAGUAGAUUCCACCUGGGCUUUUUCCUCUUAAAAGAAUCUCAAAAUGGCUACAAGCCUGCAUUUGGUUCCCAAAACUCACAUGGUGGAAGGGAAGAAUGGAUUCCCACUGACCUUUCCAUCCUCACUUGGCAUACCCACAUCCACACACAAAAUUUAAAUGUAAUAAAAAUGUUUAAAUAAAUAAA
This is a long non-coding RNA of Rattus rattus (black rat), 1598 nucleotides long. RefSeq lists it as uncharacterized. The record is from RefSeq and is a predicted model, not a curated record. Lineage: Eukaryota; Metazoa; Chordata; Mammalia; Rodentia; Muridae. The transcript has 2 exons.